RNAcentral lists this ribosomal RNA (496 nucleotides) under uncultured bacterium. RNAcentral describes it as "partial 16S ribosomal RNA". It matches the Rfam family "Bacterial small subunit ribosomal RNA", at positions 28 to 506 of the family's 1533-position model. The record is from RNAcentral.
GACGAACGCUGGCGGCGUGCCUAAUACAUGCAAGUUGAGCGCUGAAGGUUGGUACUUGUCCCGACUGGCUGAGCAGCGAACGGGUGAGUAACGCGUGGGGAAUCUGCCUUUGAGCGGGGGACAACAUUUGGAAACGAAUGCUAAUACCGCAUAAAAACUUUAAACACAAGUUUUAAGUUUGAAAGAUGCAAUUGCAUCACUCAAAGAUGAUCCCGCGUUGUAUUAGCUAGUUGGUGAGGUAAAGGCUCACCAAGGCGAUGAUACAUAGCCGACCUGAGAGGGUGAUCGGCCACAUUGGGACUGAGACACGGCCCAAACUCCUACGGGAGGCAGCAGUAGGGAAUCUUCGGCAAUGGACGAAAGUCUGACCGAGCAACGCCGCGUGAGUGAAGAAGGUUUUCGGAUCGUAAAACUCUGUUGGUAGAGAAGAACGUUGGUGAGAGUGGAAAGCUCAUCAAGUGACGGUAACUACCCAGAAAGGGACGGCUAACUACGU